UCCUAAGUAAAUUUUGGCGCGCAGGGAUCAGUUUUGUGUGGAAAGUGAUAGUGAGUGGACGUGUCGUCGCAGCCGGCUUCGAAAAUUCUACUACGCAAUUAUUACCCGAUUAUUGGUAUAAUUUGAAAGGCGGGAAGAAUUUCAAUAUGGACGCCAUCGUACUUUUUGAAGAAAAGGUUUGAUGUUUCAUUUUACUGUAUGUAUUUAUUCUGUUUUUAUUCGAUCGGUUUUAUGAUAUACUUUAUCAUUUUAAAGUAUAUUAUAAUGAAUAUUUAUAAUGAACAUUCACCAUAAAUAUUAAUAGUUUUGUAUUAAUGAUAUAUAUACUAUUUUCUUGUAUAUAAAAUUUUUUUAUUCAUAAAAAAAAUUGAUAAUAAUGAAUCCAUAGUUUCAAUAAAAAUGACAAUUUUUUUCUGAAACAAAUGAUAGAAAGAAGAAGAAAAAAAUAUUUUGCUUCUUUUUCUAUUAUAUUCCCCCCCAUUAUUAAUACAGUUUUAUUUUCAGACAAUUAUUGUGAUCGCGCGCAAUGCGAUCGGUAGAUUCAGUGUUUGUUUCGUAACAGUUUUUUAAUAUUUUAGAGCGCGAUAGCUCUAAUUAAAUUUACUUAUUAUAAUCGGGAAAUUAGAAUCAGUGUUUAUUCGCCGAUUGUAAAUUAAACGGACGCGUUAAUAGUUUUUUAUUUUUAUUUUUUUUAUUUUUAAUAUUCGUUUUCGGUACAGAGUAGAGUCAGUGUUUCUCUAAGGAAGAAGGCAGUCAUCCAUCACGCGAAGAGAUGCCUGACUUUGCCAGUGAACAUUUCUGUUGGAUUUCAAUUUUAAAUAACGUUUUGUGACCGCGUGCAAUGCGGUCUGUAGAAUCAGUGUUUGUUCCGUAACAGUUUUUUUUUAUUUUUUAUAUUUUAAUGUAUAAUAACUGUUAAUAAUUAAACUGUCAUAAUUAUUCGCGAAAUUAGAAUCAGUGCUUGUUCGUCGCCGAUGUUUUAAAUCGACGCGAUGGUAGUUUUUUAUUUUUA
Molecule: long non-coding RNA, 1012 nt
Organism: Apis cerana (Asiatic honeybee)
Lineage: Eukaryota; Metazoa; Arthropoda; Insecta; Hymenoptera; Apidae
Source: RefSeq, a predicted model, not a curated record